AACGAACGCUGGCGGCAUGCCUAACACAUGCAAGUCGAACGAGACCUUCGGGUCUAGUGGCGCACGGGUGCGUAACGCGUGGGAACCUGCCUUUAGGUUCGGAAUAACUCAGAGAAAUUUGAGCUAAUACCGGAUGAUGUCUUCGGACCAAAGAUUUAUCGCCUUUAGAUGGGCCCGCGUUGGAUUCGCUAGUUGGUGGGGUAAAGGCCUACCAAGGCGACGAUCCAUAGCUGGUCUGAGAGGAUGAUCAGCCACACUGGGACUGAGACACGGCCCAGACUCCUACGGGAGGCAGCAGUGGGGAAUAUUGGACAAUGGGCGAAAGCCUGAUCCAGCAAUGCCGCGUGAGUGAUGAAGGCCUUAGGGUUGUAAAGCUCUUUUACCCGAGAUGAUAAUGACAGUAGCGGGAGAAUAAGCUCCGGCUAACUCCGUG
This 433-nucleotide ribosomal RNA is filed under the name uncultured bacterium. Its description in RNAcentral is "partial 16S ribosomal RNA". It matches the Rfam family "Bacterial small subunit ribosomal RNA", at positions 29 to 507 of the family's 1533-position model. The record is from RNAcentral.